ACGCGCCCCAGGAACUCUGGGGGCCAAAGACCAGCGCAAGCCUCCCGCAGAGGGCUUUGUUUCCUGCUAAAUGUCUGGCUUCCUGGCAAAUCGAGGACCAGAUGCUGAUCCAAUCGUACCUCAACUACUGAUGUUAUUUCUUCCACACCAAAUUCAAGUUGCAUCAGCCAAGUUAGAGACGCCUUCCCAGGAAUCCACUAAUGAACGGAUUCGUCCUCAGUUUGACUGGCAUGUUGGUUGACCAAUAAUAUCUCAUGAU
Long non-coding RNA from Pan troglodytes (chimpanzee), 259 nucleotides. RefSeq lists it as uncharacterized. The record is from RefSeq and is a predicted model, not a curated record. Lineage: Eukaryota; Metazoa; Chordata; Mammalia; Primates; Hominidae. The transcript has 3 exons.